AGAGUUUGAUCAUGGCUCAGAACGAACGCUGGCGGCAGGCCUCAAACAUGCAAGUCUAGGGGGUGCGCAAGCAUCACCGGCGGACGGGUGCGUAACACGUGGGAAUAUACCUUUUGGUUCGGAACAACGCAGGGAAACUUGCGCUAAUACCGAAUGUGCCCUUACGGGGAAAGAUUUAUCGCCAAAGGAUUAGCCCGCGUCCGAUUAGCUAGUUGGUGAGGUAAUGGCUCACCAAGGCUCCGAUCGGUAGCUGUUCUGAGAGGAAGAUCAGCCGCACUGGGACUGAGACACGGCCCAGACUCCUACGGGAGGCAGCAGUUGGGAAUCUUGGACAAUGGGGGAAACCCUGAUCCAGCCAUGCCGCGUGAGUGAUGAAGGCCUUCGGGUUGUAAAACUCUUUCGACGGGGACGAUAAUGACGGUACCCGUAGAAGAAGCUCCGGCUAACUUCGUGCCAGCAGCCGCGGUAAUACGAAGGGGGCUAGCGUUGUUCGGAAUUACUGGGCGUAAAGCGCGCGCAGGCGGUCUUCCAAGUCAGUGGUGAAAGCCCGGAGCUCAACUCCGGAACUGCCAUUGAAACUGUAAGACUUGAGGAUGAGAGAGGUGAGUGGAAUUCCCAGUGUAGAGGUGAAAUUCGUAGAUAUUGGGAAGAACACCGGUGGCGAAGGCGGCUCACUGGCUCAUUUCUGACGCUCAGGCGCGACAGCGUGGGGAUCAAACAGGAUUAGAUACCCUAGUAGUCC
Molecule: ribosomal RNA, 742 nt
Filed under: uncultured bacterium
Lineage: Bacteria
Description: bacterial SSU rRNA
Rfam family: Bacterial small subunit ribosomal RNA
Source: RNAcentral